Molecule: ribosomal RNA, 401 nt
Filed under: Lacticaseibacillus sp.
Lineage: Bacteria; Bacillati; Bacillota; Bacilli; Lactobacillales; Lactobacillaceae
Description: bacterial SSU rRNA
Rfam family: Bacterial small subunit ribosomal RNA
Source: RNAcentral
CAGGUUCCCCUUGGGGGGCAAAAGACAGUGGUGCAUGUGUUGUCAAAUUCGGGUCGGAGAAGUUGGGUUAAGUCCGCAACGAGCGCAACCUUAUAAUAGUUGCCAGCCUUUAAGUGGGCACUCUAGUAAGACUGCCGGUGACAACCCGGAGGAAGGUGGGGGAUGACGUCAAAUCAUCAUGCCCCUUAUGACCUGGGCUACACACGUGCUACAAUGGAUGGUACAACGAGUUGCGAGACCGCGAGGUCAAGCUAAUCUCUUAAAGCCAAUCUCAGUUCGGACUGUAGGCUGCAACUCGCCUACACGAAGUCGGAAUCGCUAGUAAUCGCGGAUCAGCACGCCGCGGUGAAUACGAUCCCCGGGCCUUGUACACACCGCCCGUCACAUCCAUGUUGAGUUUG